Molecule: non-coding RNA, 71 nt
Organism: Trichechus manatus latirostris (Florida manatee)
Lineage: Eukaryota; Metazoa; Chordata; Mammalia; Sirenia; Trichechidae
Source: the annotation of a RefSeq genome assembly
GCAGUGGUGGUUCAGUGGUAGAAUUCUCGCUUUUUAUGUGGGAGACCUGGGUUCGAUUCUCGGCCAGUGCA